Molecule: small RNA, 55 nt
Filed under: Myotis lucifugus (little brown bat)
Lineage: Eukaryota; Metazoa; Chordata; Mammalia; Chiroptera; Vespertilionidae
Description: GRIK4 3 prime UTR element (ENSMLUG00000029973.1)
Source: RNAcentral
UAGAGGCGGUGGAGACAGGAAUGGAGCCAAGGCGGCAGAGGCAGGAGGUGGGAGC